RNAcentral lists this ribosomal RNA (253 nucleotides) under uncultured bacterium. RNAcentral describes it as "partial 16S ribosomal RNA". It matches the Rfam family "Bacterial small subunit ribosomal RNA", at positions 524 to 776 of the family's 1533-position model. The record is from RNAcentral.
UACGUAGGGUGCAAGCGUUGUCCGGAAUUAUUGGGCGUAAAGGGCGUUUAGGCGGGUGAUUAAGUUCGCUAUGAAAGCGCCAGGCUAAACCUGGCGAGGCUGGCGGAUACUGGUCAUCUGGAGUGAGGGAGAGGGAAGUAGAAUUCCGCGUGUAGUGGUGAAAUGCGUAGAGAUGCGGAGGAAUACCAGUGGCGAAGGCGACUUCCUGGCCCUCAACUGACGCUGAAGCGCGAAAGCAUGGGGAGCGAACGGG